Molecule: ribosomal RNA, 513 nt
Filed under: uncultured Methanosphaerula sp.
Lineage: Archaea; Methanobacteriati; Methanobacteriota; Methanomicrobia; Methanomicrobiales; Methanoregulaceae
Description: bacterial SSU rRNA
Rfam family: Archaeal small subunit ribosomal RNA
Source: RNAcentral
GCUGCAGGAAUUCCCAAUACUAUCGGUACGGGUUGUGGGAGCAAGAGCCCGGAGAUGGAUUCUGAGACACGAAUCCAGGCCCUACGGGGCGCAGCAGGCGCGAAAACUUUACAAUGCGGGAAACCGUGAUAAGGGAACUCCGAGUGCCCGUAAACGCGGGCUGUCCAUCUGCUUAAAAAACAGGUGAAGAAAGGGCCGGGCAAGACCGGUGCCAGCCGCCGCGGUAAUACCGGCGGCUCGAGUGGUGGCCACUAUUACUGGGCUUAAAGCGUCCGUAGCUUGGUUGUUAAGUCUCUUGGGAAAUCUGUCGGCUUAACCGACAGGCGUUUAAGGGAUACUGGCAAUCUAGGGACCGGGAGAGGUGAGAGGUACUCCAGGGGUAGGAGUGAAAUCCUGUAAUCCUUGGGGGACCACCUGUGGCGUAGGCGUCUCACCAGAACGGCUCCGACAGUGAGGGACGAAAGCUGGGGGAGCAAACCGGAUUAGAUACCCGGGUAGUCCCAGCCGUAAACA